AUCCAGCUGACGAGUCCCAAAUAGGAAGAAACGCGUGUUCUGGAU
This is a non-coding RNA of Schistosoma margrebowiei, 45 nucleotides long. NCBI's taxonomy places the organism in Eukaryota, Metazoa, Platyhelminthes, Trematoda, Strigeidida, Schistosomatidae. The record is from Rfam.